This 252-nucleotide ribosomal RNA is filed under the name uncultured bacterium. RNAcentral describes it as "partial 16S ribosomal RNA". It matches the Rfam family "Bacterial small subunit ribosomal RNA", at positions 525 to 776 of the family's 1533-position model. The record is from RNAcentral.
ACGGAGGGUGCAAGCGUUAUCCGGAUUUAUUGGGUUUAAAGGGUGCGUAGGCGGAAAAUUAAGUCAGUGAUGAAAUCCUGCAGCUCAACUGUAGAACUGUUAUUGAUACUGAUUUUCUUGAAUAUAGUUGAGGUAGGCGGAAUGUGUAAUGUAGCGGUGAAAUGCUUAGAUAUUACACAGAACACCGAUUGCGAAGGCAGCUUACUAAGCUAUUAUUGACGCUGAGGCACGAAAGCGUGGGGAGCGAACAGG